GUUGUAUGGUUAAGUGAUUAAGCGUAGACGGUGGAUGCCUUGGCAGUCAGAGGCGAUGAAGGACGUACUAACCUGCGAAAAGCGAUGGUGAGCUGGUAAGAAGCAUUUGAGCCAUCGAUGUCCGAAUGGGGAAACCCACCUGUAUAAGCAGGUAUCUUAGCGUGAAUACAUAGCGCUAAGAGGCGAACUCGGGGAACUGAAACAUCUAAGUACCCGAAGGAAAAGAAAUCAAUUGAGAUUCCGGCAGUAGCGGCGAGCGACCCCGGAGCAGCCCUUAAGCGGCUUAGGCGUUAGGUGAACAGGUUGGAAAACCUGGCAAUAAAGGGUGAUAGCCCCGUAACCGACGGCGCCUUAGRCGUGAAAACGAGUAAGACGGGACACGUGAUAUCUUGUCUGAASAUGGGGGGACCAUCCUCCAAGGCUAAAUACUCCUGACUGACCGAUAGUGAACCAGUACCGUGAGGGAAAGGCGAAAAGAACCCCUGUGAGGGGAGUGAAAUAGAACCUGAAACCGUCUACGUACAAGCAGUGGGAGCCUCUUUUAUGGGGUGACCGCGUACCUUUUGUAUAAUGGGUCAGCGACUUAAUGUAAGUAGC
Molecule: ribosomal RNA, 597 nt
Filed under: Salinivibrio kushneri
Lineage: Bacteria; Pseudomonadati; Pseudomonadota; Gammaproteobacteria; Vibrionales; Vibrionaceae
Description: bacterial LSU rRNA
Rfam family: Bacterial large subunit ribosomal RNA
Source: RNAcentral